This 253-nucleotide ribosomal RNA is filed under the name uncultured bacterium. Its description in RNAcentral is "partial 16S ribosomal RNA". It matches the Rfam family "Bacterial small subunit ribosomal RNA", at positions 524 to 776 of the family's 1533-position model. The record is from RNAcentral.
ACCAGAGGAGGCGAUCGUUAUUCGGAGUCAUUGGGCGUAAAGGGUACGUAGGCGGCUAGUCAAGUCUGAGGUUAAAGACCACAGCUUAACUGUGGGAAGGCCUUGGAAACUGACUGGCUAGAGUGGGGCAGGGGUUGCGGGAAUUCCCGGUGUAGCGGUGAAAUGCGUAGAUAUCGGGAAGAACACCUGAGGCGAAAGCGCGCAACUGGGCCCUAACUGACGAUGAGGUACGAAAGCUAGGGGAGAGAAUGGG